This 896-nucleotide ribosomal RNA is filed under the name Metarhizium cylindrosporum. RNAcentral describes it as "LSU rRNA". It matches the Rfam family "Eukaryotic large subunit ribosomal RNA", at positions 38 to 964 of the family's 3401-position model. The record is from RNAcentral. Lineage: Eukaryota; Fungi; Ascomycota; Sordariomycetes; Hypocreales; Clavicipitaceae.
GCAUAUCAAUAAGCGGAGGAAAAGAAACCAACAGGGAUUGCCCCAGUAACGGCGAGUGAAGCGGCAACAGCUCAAAUUUGAAAUCUGGCCCYUAGGGCCCGAGUUGUAAUUUGCAGAGGAUGCUUUUGGCGAGGUGCCUUCCGAGUUCCCUGGAACGGGACGCCAUAGAGGGUGAGAGCCCCGUCUGGUUGGAUGCCGAGCCUCUGUAAAGCUCCUUCGACGAGUCGAGUAGUUUGGGAAUGCUGCUCUAAAUGGGAGGUAUAUGUCUUCUAAAGCUAAAUACCGGCCAGAGACCGAUAGCGCACAAGUAGAGUGAUCGAAAGAUGAAAAGCACUUUGAAAAGAGGGUUAAAUAGUACGUGAAAUUGUUGAAAGGGAAGCGCUUAUGACCAGACUUGGACCCGGUGAAUCAUCCAGCGUUCUCGCUGGUGCACUUUGCCGGGCUCAGGCCAGCAUCAGUUUGCCUUGGGGGAUAAAGGCUUUGGGAAUGUGGCUCCCUCGGGAGUGUUAUAGCCCAUUGCACAAUACCCUGGGGCGGACUGAGGUUCGCGCAUCUGCAAGGAUGCUGGCGUAAUGGUCAUCAGCGACCCGUCUUGAAACACGGACCAAGGAGUCGUCUUCGUAUGCGAGUGUUCGGGUGUAAAACCCCUACGCGUAAUGAAAGUGAACGCAGGUGAGAGCUUCGGCGCAUCAUCGACCGAUCCUGAUGUUCUCGGAUGGAUUUGAGUAAGAGCAUACGGGGCCGGACCCGAAAGAAGGUGAACUAUGCCUGUAUAGGGUGAAGCCAGAGGAAACUCUGGUGGAGGCUCGCAGCGGUUCUGACGUGCAAAUCGAUCGUCAAAUAUGGGCAUGGGGGCGAAAGACUAAUCGAACCUUCUAGUAGCUGGUUUCCGCCGA